GAUGAACGCUGGCGGCGUGCCUAAUACAUGCAAGUAGAACGCUGAAGGAGGAGCUUGCUCUUCUGGAUGAGUUGCGAACGGGUGAGUAACGCGUAGGUAACCUGCCUGGUAGCGGGGGAUAACUAUUGGAAACGAUAGCUAAUACCGCAUGACAACAGUUAUUGCAUGAUAACUGUUUAAAAGGGGCAACUGCUCCACUACCAGAUGGACCUGCGUUGUAUUAGCUAGUUGGUGAGGUAACGGCUCACCAAGGCGACGAUACAUAGCCGACCUGAGAGGGUGAUCGGCCACACUGGGACUGAGACACGGCCCAGACUCCUACGGGAGGCAGCAGUAGGGAAUCUUCGGCAAUGGACGGAAGUCUGACCGAGCAACGCCGCGUGAGUGAAGAAGGGUUUCGGAUCGUAAAGCUCGGUUGUAAGAGAAGAACGAGUGUGAGAGUGGAAAGUUCACACUGUGACGGUAUCUUACCAGAAAGGGACGGCUAACUACGUG
Molecule: ribosomal RNA, 495 nt
Filed under: uncultured bacterium
Lineage: Bacteria
Description: partial 16S ribosomal RNA
Rfam family: Bacterial small subunit ribosomal RNA
Source: RNAcentral